GGGAAAGGUGAAAAGAACCCCGGGAGGGGAGGGAAAUAGAACCUGAAACCCUGCACUUACAAGCUGUGGAAGCACAUUUCUUGUGUGACCGCGUACUUUUUGUAGAACGGGCCAACGAGUUACGUUAAGUAGCAAGGUUAAGCACUUAAGGUGCGGAGCCGUAGCGAAAGCGAGUUUUAACUGGGCGUUCAGUUACUUGACGUAGACCCGAAACCGGGCGACCUACCCAUG
RNAcentral lists this ribosomal RNA (231 nucleotides) under Clostridioides difficile. RNAcentral describes it as "partial 23S ribosomal RNA". It matches the Rfam family "Bacterial large subunit ribosomal RNA", at positions 507 to 738 of the family's 2925-position model. The record is from RNAcentral. Lineage: Bacteria; Bacillati; Bacillota; Clostridia; Peptostreptococcales; Peptostreptococcaceae.